RNAcentral lists this ribosomal RNA (499 nucleotides) under uncultured bacterium. Its description in RNAcentral is "partial 16S ribosomal RNA". It matches the Rfam family "Bacterial small subunit ribosomal RNA", at positions 30 to 523 of the family's 1533-position model. The record is from RNAcentral.
AUUGAACGCUGGCGGCAUGCCUUACACAUGCAAGUCGAACGGCAGCACGGGAGCAAUCCUGGUGGCGAGUGGCGAACGGGUGAGUAAAGUAUCGGAACGUGCCAGUCGUGGGGGAUAACGUAGCGAAAGUUACGCUAAUACCGCAUACGAUCUAUGGAUGAAAGCGGGGGAUCGCAAGACCUCGCGCGAUUGGAGCGGCUGAUAUCAGAUUAGGUAGUUGGUGGGGUAAAGGCUCACCAAGCCGACGAUCUGUAGCUGGUCUGAGAGGACGACCAGCCACACUGGGACUGAGACACGGCCCAGACUCCUACGGGAGGCAGCAGUGGGGAAUUUUGGACAAUGGGCGCAAGCCUGAUCCAGCCAUGCCGCGUGCAGGAUGAAGGCCUUCGGGUUGUAAACUGCUCUUGUACGGAACGAAAAGGUUUGGCCUAAUAAGCUGGACCCAUGACGGUACCGUAAGAAUAAGCACCGGCUAACUACGUGCCAGCCGCCGCUGUAA